AAGUCGAACGGCAGCGGGAAGGAGCUUGCUCCUUUGCCGGCGAGUGGCGCACGGGUGCGUAACGCGUAUACAACCUACCUUAUACAGGGGUAUAGCCCAGGGAAACUUGGAUUAACACCCCAUAGUAAUAUGUUUUGGCAUCAUUACAUAUUUAAAACUACGGUGGUAUAAGAUGGGUAUGCGUCCCAUUAGCUUGUUGGUGUGGUAACGGCACACCAAGGCAACGAUGGGUAGGGGCCCUGAGAGGGGGGUCCCCCACACUGGUACUGAGACACGGACCAGACUCCUACGGGAGGCAGCAGUGAGGAAUAUUGGACAAUGGGCGCAAGCCUGAUCCAGCCAUGCCGCGUGCAGGAAGACUGCCCUAUGGGUUGUAAACUGCUUUUAUACGGGAAGAAACCCACCUACGUGUAGGUGGCUGACGGUACCGUAAGAAUAAGGACCGGCUAACUCCGUGCCAGCAGCCGCGGUAAUACGGAGGGUCCGAGCGUUAUCCGGAAUCAUUGGGUUUAAAGGGUCCGCAGGCGGCCAGAUAAGUCAGUGGUGAAAUUCCGUGGCUCAACCACGGAACUGCCAUUGAUACUGUUUGGCUUGAAUCAGUUCGAGGAUGCCGGAAUGUGUGGUGUAGCGGUGAAAUGCAUAGAUAUCACACAGAACACCAAUUGCGAAGGCAGGUGUCCAGAACUGUAUUGACGCUGAUGGACGAAAGCGUGGGUAGCGAACAGGAUUAGAUACCCUGGUAGUCCACGCCGUAAACGAUGGUCACUAGCUGUCCGGACUUAGGUCUGGGUGGCCAAGCGAAAGUGAUAAGUGACCCACCUGGGGAGUACGUUCGCAAGAAUGAAACUCAAAGGAAUUGACGGGGGCCCGCACAGGCGGUGGAGCAUGUGUUUAUUCGAUGAUACGCGAGGAACCUUACCAGGGCUUAAAUGCAUUAUGACAGGGGUGGGAGACACCCUUUUCUUCGGACAUUUUGCAGGUGCUGCAUGAUUGUCGUCAGCUCGUGCGUGGAGGUGUCAGUAGUCUAUACGAGCGCACCCUGUGUAGUGCAGCGAGUAUGUCGGACUCUAGCAGACUGCGUGCAACGCGAGGAGGUGGGAUGACGUCAUCAUCCGUCUACGCCUGGCCACAACGUGCUAAUGCAGUACGCAAGCACAUGGGGACAGAAAGAACUGUAAGCGGUCAAGUCGAUCGGACUCGACCUCCACUCCUGAACUGUAAGUCGCUUGAUAUCCAUAUAC
Molecule: ribosomal RNA, 1241 nt
Filed under: uncultured bacterium
Lineage: Bacteria
Description: partial 16S ribosomal RNA
Rfam family: Bacterial small subunit ribosomal RNA
Source: RNAcentral